GGGGCCGUAGUCUAGUCUGGAUAAGGCACCAGCCUUCGGAGUUGGGCAUCCCCGGUUCAAAUCCGGGCGGUCCCGCCA
Molecule: transfer RNA, 78 nt
Filed under: Candidatus Thorarchaeota archaeon
Lineage: Archaea; Promethearchaeati; Candidatus Thorarchaeota
Description: tRNA-Arg
Rfam family: tRNA
About the family: Transfer RNA (tRNA) molecules are approximately 80 nucleotides in length. Their secondary structure includes four short double-helical elements and three loops (D, anti-codon, and T loops). Further hydrogen bonds mediate the characteristic L-shaped molecular structure. tRNAs have two regions of fundamental functional importance: the anti-codon, which is responsible for specific mRNA codon recognition, and the 3' end, to which the tRNAs corresponding amino acid is attached (by aminoacyl-tRNA synthetases). tRNAs cope with the degeneracy of the genetic code in two manners: having more than one tRNA (with a specific anti-codon) for a particular amino acid; and 'wobble' base-pairing, i.e. permitting non-standard base-pairing at the 3rd anti-codon position.
Source: RNAcentral